GGCAAUGUAGCAAAGUGGUUACUGCGAUUGACUCGAAUGUCCUGUACACGAUAUCAAUUCCCUUCGGGGGCGUAGGUUCGAAUCCUGCCAUUGUCG
This is a transfer RNA of 96 nucleotides. It matches the Rfam family "tRNA". Rfam says of the family: Transfer RNA (tRNA) molecules are approximately 80 nucleotides in length. Their secondary structure includes four short double-helical elements and three loops (D, anti-codon, and T loops). Further hydrogen bonds mediate the characteristic L-shaped molecular structure. tRNAs have two regions of fundamental functional importance: the anti-codon, which is responsible for specific mRNA codon recognition, and the 3' end, to which the tRNAs corresponding amino acid is attached (by aminoacyl-tRNA synthetases). tRNAs cope with the degeneracy of the genetic code in two manners: having more than one tRNA (with a specific anti-codon) for a particular amino acid; and 'wobble' base-pairing, i.e. permitting non-standard base-pairing at the 3rd anti-codon position. The record is from Rfam.